AAGGCUUUAGCUUAAUUAAAGUGUCUGUUUUGCAUACAGGCGAUGUGAGGUAAUAUCUUGCAAGUCUUA
RNAcentral lists this transfer RNA (69 nucleotides) under Bostockia porosa. RNAcentral describes it as "tRNA-Ala". It matches the Rfam family "tRNA". Rfam says of the family: Transfer RNA (tRNA) molecules are approximately 80 nucleotides in length. The record is from RNAcentral. Lineage: Eukaryota; Metazoa; Chordata; Actinopteri; Centrarchiformes; Percichthyidae.